Molecule: long non-coding RNA, 820 nt
Organism: Vigna unguiculata (cowpea)
Lineage: Eukaryota; Viridiplantae; Streptophyta; Magnoliopsida; Fabales; Fabaceae
Source: RefSeq, a predicted model, not a curated record
AGAUGGCCACGUAAGGAUCCCGUUUUCAGCUGAGAGGAAUUGAUGAACAACACGUGGUCUUGAAAUUUUAGGACAGUUUUAAAAGAGGGAUUUGGGGUCUUUCUGAAACCCUAAAAUUGGAGCAGAUCGUGUUGCUUUGGGGGAUAUAGUAUUGAAUUCAUUGGCAGCCAAAAUUGAACUUUGAACAUCGUUGUAGGGUGAUGAAAAGUGGGAGCAGAGGGAUUUAUUGUACGCAGAGGAGUAGUGGUUCGAAAAUUUCGCAAACCUGUUCGUCGUCGUCGGAUAUGACAUCCAAACUGUGUGGGUGUGGGGAAAGAUUACUGCUCCUAAAGACAACGACUGUGAAGAACAAGGGAAGAUUAUUUUGGAGAUGUAGAAAAUGGGUUUCCAAUUCUCAUUGCAAUUUCUUUGAAUGGUUUAAUGAAGAGGAUUCUAAAUAUGAAGGGAACGCACCGGACUUUCAAGACAGUGGUAGAACACGAACUGAAGAAGAUGAAGUGUGUUUUGGAGAAGGAGAAAGUUAUAUUGGAGUUGAUAAGGAAAAAUGAGAAGUUGAAGGCGAAAUUGCAAGAAGAGAAAAAUUUUGGGAGAUUCCUGCAAGUUUUUUUCCUUUUGUAGUGGACAUUAACAGUUGUCUUUGUUUUUAUGUUGUUGUUCAAGUUCAAUUGCAACUAGUUUUUUAGUAAGUUCUAUUUAGCAGUGAUUAGUUAUGUAUGGAACUUUAAUGAUUAAGUAUGUUUGAGGUAACUUCUGGUGGGGAAGUGUUUUGUAUUUGUAAUAUGUUAGUAAUGAAUGAAAUGAGAAGUUCAAUUGUGUUUUA